This is a long non-coding RNA of Talpa occidentalis (Iberian mole), 918 nucleotides long. RefSeq lists it as uncharacterized. The transcript has 4 exons. NCBI's taxonomy places the organism in Eukaryota, Metazoa, Chordata, Mammalia, Eulipotyphla, Talpidae. The record is from RefSeq and is a predicted model, not a curated record.
CUGGCCCAGCAGCGCUGAUGAGCCCCAGACUCCGCCCCCGGCUGGAGCUUGACCCCGCCCCCAGACUCUGCCUGCGCAAAGGGGCUCUUCUCAGGGUCUACGCUUGAGGGUGCAGCCCCAGGGGCACGCCAAGCGACCAAAGGCGCCCUAAACGGAGGGGCGGGGUCACUGUCCGAGACGGCACCCCUUGUACGCCAUAGACAAGCGGCUACCGCGGCCUCCUCCAAAACUGCAGGCAGACAGGGCGGCGCAGAAAGCCCAGGGCAACCCAACCCCACUGAAAGGGCAGACAGGCCGGCGCAGAAAUCCCCGGCAACCCAGCACCACUCAGAGGGGAAGAGUCCUCCCCUGGCCCAGCAGCGAAUGAAGAGCCCGAGGCUCCGCCCCUGGCCCAGAGCCUGACCCCGCCCACUGGACGGCGCGUGCGCAAAGGUCCGGGAAACAGAGAACAAAAGAAGCCUCAUUAAAAUACUCCACUGGGCCUCCCUGGUGGCACAGGAGUUAAAGACUCAGCACUAUCAAGCUAUCACCAGCCACUGCAGCAAGAGUUCAAUCCAUAGCCAGGGAGCUGACCCACAUGGCAUAGCAGACCUCUCCUGUCUCGCCCACUGCCCACUGUCUCUGGUGAAUCCUCCCACCCCCCAGCACCUCUGGCCUACACCCCAGCUCUUAUAUGCAUAAAUAAAUAAAAUAAAUCUUUACAAAAAAUAUUUGGCUGGUAAGAUACAAAAACUUAAAAUUGUCCUUCAAUGGGGCAUUAAAUGGAACAUAUUUUCCUGGUUAUGUAUGGAAUUCCUAUUUAUAGUGAAUUCAGAAUUAAAGAAGAAAGUAAACAUCAUUCAUAGUGCUAAUGCCCAGAAAUAGCGCUGUUAAUAUUUUGAUGUUGUUUCAUUUCAGUUUUUCUUCUGUGCAUGCCUU